This 207-nucleotide ribosomal RNA is filed under the name uncultured bacterium. RNAcentral's name for it is "partial 16S ribosomal RNA". It matches the Rfam family "Bacterial small subunit ribosomal RNA", at positions 1294 to 1500 of the family's 1533-position model. The record is from RNAcentral.
CGGAUUGAAGGCUGAAAUUCGCCUUCAUGAAGCUGGAAUUGCUAGUAAUGGCAGGUCAGCAUACUGCCGUGAAUACGUUCCCGGGCCUUGUACACACCGCCCGUCACACCAUGAGAGUUGGAAAUACCCGAAGCCUGUGAGCUAACAGUAAUGAGGCAGCAGUCGAAGGUAGAGCCAAUGAUUGGGGUGAAGUCGUAACAAGGUACC